UGUUUUGAUGGUGAUUGUUUUUGCUUCAUUUUAAACACUGUAGGGUACUGCUCUGUUUUAGAUUGAGUAACACUUAUUAUCUUCUAGUUGACUGCGAGGUGACACUGACAUUGGUCUCUCAAAAUGACGAAGCUCCUGUUACAAGCCAGGAUGACCAAACAACACAAAGUGAAGAUGACGAUUUGGACAGCACCCAAAUGGCACCUGUGGGAAGUGGCUCAGACACCGAGACACAGAAAGAUACUCCAAGCAAGAUAACCAUGAACAA
Long non-coding RNA from Carassius carassius (crucian carp), 268 nucleotides. RefSeq lists it as uncharacterized. The transcript has 2 exons. Lineage: Eukaryota; Metazoa; Chordata; Actinopteri; Cypriniformes; Cyprinidae. The record is from RefSeq and is a predicted model, not a curated record.